UGGAGCUGGAGUUUUACAAAGAAUGUUGCAGCUAGAGUGCAUCGUCAGAAGGACAGAAAGAUGCUCUGCACACCUUCACAAGAGGAUGGGACAAUCAUCAUUUAAAGUCUGAAGGUGGCCUCACCCCUAACCAGCUCUGGACCAUGGGACACAUGCAGAAACCUUCUCAUGAGACUGAAGAUGUGCAGAACCUAGAGCUCUUUGGAACUGACUGGGAAACGUUUGAUGGUGUCAGUGAAGAACCCUCUGGAGUUCAAGUCCCA
This is a long non-coding RNA of Fundulus heteroclitus (mummichog), 263 nucleotides long. RefSeq lists it as uncharacterized. The transcript has 3 exons. The record is from RefSeq and is a predicted model, not a curated record. Lineage: Eukaryota; Metazoa; Chordata; Actinopteri; Cyprinodontiformes; Fundulidae.